GAUGAAGAACGUAGCGAAAUGCGAUAAGUAAUGUGAAUUGCAGAAUUCAGUGAAUCAUCGAAUCUUUGAACGCACAUUGCGCCCGCCAGUAUUCUGGCGGGCAUGCCUGUUCGAGCGUCAUUACAACCCUCAGGCCCCCGGGCCUGGCGUUGGGGAUCGGCGGAGCCCCCCGUGGGCACACGCCGUCCCCCAAAUGCAGUGGCGGUCCCGCCGCAGCUUCCAUCGCGUAGUAGCUAACACCUCGCGACUGGAGAGCGGCGCGGCCACGCCGUAAAACACCCAACUCUUCUGAAGUUGACCUCGAAUCAGGUAGGAAUACCCGCUGAACUUAAGCAUAUCAAUAAGCGGGAGGA
This 353-nucleotide unclassified non-coding RNA is filed under the name soil metagenome. RNAcentral describes it as "partial contains 5.8S ribosomal RNA, internal transcribed spacer 2, and large subunit ribosomal RNA". The stretch from base 1 to 120 matches the Rfam family "5.8S ribosomal RNA", at positions 35 to 154 of the family's 154-position model. The record is from RNAcentral.